CCGCCCGGCCAGCCGCCCCGUCUGGGAGGUGAGGGGCGCCUCUGCCCGGCCGCCCCUACUGGGAAGUGAGGAGCCGCUCUGCCCGGCCAGCCGCCCCGUCCGGGAGGGAGGUGGUGGGGGGGUCAGCCCCCCCGCCCGGCCAGCCGCCCCGUCUGGGAGGUGAGGGGCGCCUCUGCCCGGCCGCCCCUACUGGGAAGUGAGGAGCCCUUCUGCCCGGCCACCACCCCGUCUGGGAGGUGUGCCCAACAGCUCAUUGAGAACGGGCCAUGAUGACAAUGGCGGCUUUGUGGAAUAGAAAGGCGGGAAAGGUGGGGAAAAGAUUGAGAAAUCGGAUGGUUGCCG
RNAcentral lists this long non-coding RNA (342 nucleotides) under Homo sapiens (human). RNAcentral describes it as "HSALNT0325922". The record is from RNAcentral. Lineage: Eukaryota; Metazoa; Chordata; Mammalia; Primates; Hominidae.